This 207-nucleotide ribosomal RNA is filed under the name uncultured Syntrophaceae bacterium. Its description in RNAcentral is "partial 16S ribosomal RNA". It matches the Rfam family "Bacterial small subunit ribosomal RNA", at positions 568 to 774 of the family's 1533-position model. The record is from RNAcentral. Lineage: Bacteria; Pseudomonadati; Thermodesulfobacteriota; Syntrophia; Syntrophales; Syntrophaceae.
CGUGUAGGCGGCUUGACAAGUCAGAUGUGAAAUCCCUGGGCUUAACCCAGGAAGUGCAUUUGAAACUGUCUUGCUUGAGUAAGGGAGAGGAAAGUGGAAUUCCUGGUGUAGAGGUGAAAUUCGUAGAUAUCAGGAGGAACACCGGUGGCGAAGGCGACUUUCUGGCCCUAUACGGACGCUGAGACGCGAAAGCGUGGGUAGCAAACA